GUUGGAAUUUGGAAAAUCCAUUGGUAAUACACGGAGAACCUCCUCCUUGGAGAAAGAAAGUCAAAUUUGUGGGGCCUCGUCUUGACUUUGAAGGUUCAUUAUAUGAUGAUUACGACCUGAUUGAGCCACCAAUCAACUUCAACUUGGAUGAUGAAGUUGCGCAAAGAACAGAACAAUUGAUGCGUGACAUGUAUGAUAAGACUGUUGCUUUAUUGAGGGAGCAUAAUGCCGCUUUACUAAAAACUGUUAAGGUAUGCUUGUUAAUUUUAAAUUUUAAUUAAAAAGAUCUUGUUGCCCCCUACUUACAAGUUUCAUCAUCCCUUAUCCUUUUCAAUUAAUGUUUUACACCUGUCUUUAUCUAUUUGACUAAUCAUUCGAUUUNGAAAUUUUUUGAUUCUAAUUAUUUAUAUAUAUAUAUAUAUAUAUAUAUAUAUAUAUUAAUUGUUGGUGGUUUACUAGAUUCCGUUUACCCAUAUAUAUGUCUUGAUAACUACAACAGGAAUUUUUUUCCCCAUAAGUGCAGUUUAUGUUUACAGUUGGCUAAUAAUUCUUGUCAUUUCAUUUUCUAAUAUAAAGAAUUCUUUGAUAGGAUGGACAGGAGCAAGGUUGGCUCAGUUACUCCAAGAGGCUGCUCUUGUGGCAGUGCGAAAAAAUCACAAUGCUAUUAUGCAGCCAGACCUUGAUGAAGCAGUUGACAGGCUUACAGUCGGACCAAAGCGUGUUGCAAUAGAGUUGGGUCAUCAGGGGCAAUGUCGUCGAGCCACAACUGAAGUAGGGACUGCAUUGACUUCUCAUCUGCUAAGGCAACUUGAAAAUGCUAAUGUGGAAUCCUGUGACCGUAUAUCAAUCAAUCCUCGUGGCCAGGUCUUCUUUUCCAUCUUUAUCACAUUCUCCAUUUUUUUUUCUCACACAAAUCUACUGAGAUUCUUUUCCGCCUUACUGACUUGGUAUGGACGUAUGGUAAGGUGUAACUCAUGACAUUAACAUUGCUCAAGAGUCGAGGCAGUUGUUAGAUUGUGGAAGUAGUAGGCCUGCAAUUAGGAUAAGUAUAUAGGAGUAUAUAGUAAUAAAGUAUAUUAACAUGUGCAUGAGAUGAUAUGCUUAAUGUUUAUUUAUUGUUUUAAUGAUGAACAAUUAUGGAUGCAGACGUUGUCUCAAGUUGUAUUUAAUAGACUUGAUGAUGAGUCGUAUAUUUUCGAGCGUCGGCCUCAACUACUUCACCGCCUUCAGGUGUGACUUAAUAUACCGACUUUUGAAUUUUCUGAUCUGGGUAGAUCCCUUCUUUAUUUGGAAUUUCUUAAAUUCUGUUGAGUUCAUUGAUAAUGAAGGUUUUACUUGGAGGGAGAGCUGCAGAAGAGAUAAUUUUUGGCCGGGAUACAUCAAAGGCAUCAGUUAACUACCUUGCUGAUGCAUCAUGGCUUGCUCGAAAGAUUAUAACAAUGUAGGUAUUCCUUGAUCUAACAGCUUAAUUUAGGCUUUUUAUUCUUUUUAGGAAUUUGUAUUAUUUUUUUGUUUUUCUUAAUUCAGUUGGAAUUUGGAAAAUCCAUUGGUAAUACACGGAGAACCUCCUCCUUGGAGAAAGAAAGUCAAAUUUGUGGGGCCUCGUCUUGACUUUGAAGGUUCAUUAUAUGAUGAUUACGACCUGAUUGAGCCACCAAUCAACUUCAACUUGGAUGAUGAAGUUGCGCAAAGAACAGAACAAUUGAUGCGUGACAUGUAUGAUAAGACUGUUGCUUUAUUGAGGGAGCAUAAUGCCGCUUUACUAAAAACUGUUAAGGUAUGCUUGUUAAUUUUAAAUUUUAAUUAAAAAGAUCUUGUUGCCCCCUACUUACAAGUUUCAUCAUCCCUUAUCCUUUUCAAUUAAUGUUUUACACCUGU
RNAcentral lists this long non-coding RNA (1878 nucleotides) under Daucus carota (carrot). Its description in RNAcentral is "long non-coding RNA (DCAR_LNC006258)". Lineage: Eukaryota; Viridiplantae; Streptophyta; Magnoliopsida; Apiales; Apiaceae. The record is from RNAcentral.